AAAACCAAACAUUGCCCAUCUGUUCAACCACAAAAACAGGAAUCAUAAAGUCAAAAAUGUAACUACGACACUAUUCAUACACAGAGACUCAAUACACUAAGCAUUUUUUAAUCUAAAAAUGUACAAUUUCACAAAGCCAUUCCCAAGUAGCUAAGAGAGGAACAAUGCCAUAUGAGUUUAGUAUGCCAGGCGAUUGACCAUUAAAAAAUUUCAUAUUGUAGAAAUCCUCUGGUUUAUUUCAUGUCAGGUUCUUGUCUAUACAGUCCAACGUAGAAACAUUCAAUUCUCAUAUUUCAAGAAGCAAAUGUAUGUGCUGAGGUGCGUUUUCUUUUCUUUCAAGAGAUGAGUUUAUUGUUGUCCGUAACUGACUACUCGCUACCGAUUUGUAUAAACUUCAUAGAAGAUGAGGAGAAAAUUGGUGGGUUACAGGAAGCAGACAUUUUAUGUUUGAUGUUCCUAGAAUCCAUCUUAGUCUUUCAAAGGCACAACGAAAAUGAAUCUGAAUACUUCUAAUCAUCGACCCCAACAAUGGAUUUAAGCUAUUUAGGAGAUCCAUCACUGAUGAAAGUUACAAUGCAGAAAGGCAAUGCAACUUGAAAAAUUAAAAAAAAAAAAAACAAACUUGGCAAGCACCACCUCGCUAAUCCAGUCAAUAGGUUUCUUCUAGAGAACCAACUUAGCUGUUGAAUGCUAAGUAAAACAACGCAGCGUAAGUCAUGCAAAAGCCAAAUCAUGAUAAAAAGAAUUUGAAAAGAAAGAAGAGGGACAGAGUGAAGACAGAGGAAGAGUAGCAAAACCUUCCAAGGAGCUACAUCCUUCUUGUGAAACAGAGCACUAAUCAGAUUAAUACUAUUAAGAAAUUAAAGAAAAACAAUAAACUCGUCCUCUCUAGAUGCACCAGAUUUAGCCAAACAACAUGCGAAGGAGUUGGCCUCAUGCAUGGUACCCGCAGAAGACAUCUUAGGCAAGGGAGCUCCACACAAGUCUCGCAGAAUAAACCACACUUGUAAUAUUAUAAAAUCAACUCCACUCUUACAAAUACAGCUAAAUCUAGCAAACAAAUAUAGUAGUAAUUAUAUGAAUUUUCAUAUGAUAUACUCUUCACGUAUUACAACAACUAGACUCUUUACAUGCUAUAACAUCAAUUACACUCUUCACGCAUUAACUCUUCACACAUAAAUCUAUAUUCACUGAUAUUUAAAUUUUAUAUUUCCAACAAUAACAAGGGUUCAACAAAUAUUCUCUAAAGGUAGGGGUGGCAAAUGGGUAACGCGAAGUAGACUUGAAAUCAUGAAUCAUAUAGACAAAACAAAUUGGUCACCUCUAACUAAUUAAAAGUGAAAAAAAAUAAUGACAAUAAGAUGCUUUUCUUUCUUUUUAUAAAAAAAAAAUUCUAAUACGCCAGAAGUAUACAACAUUGCAGACUGCAAUUAAUAGCUUAUAUAAUUUAGCUCAAGCAACAAAAUAGAGUUUUCAUUUUUACCCAACAUAUGUUGAGAGAAACUUGGCACGUCCAUACUCUGCAAAC
This 1528-nucleotide unclassified non-coding RNA is filed under the name Hevea brasiliensis (rubber tree). The record is from RNAcentral. Lineage: Eukaryota; Viridiplantae; Streptophyta; Magnoliopsida; Malpighiales; Euphorbiaceae.